AUGCAGGGCAUAACCAAGGUCGCGGACCUGCUGCUACCAGAUGGGAAGAGUUGGGAUGCACAUAAAAUACAGGAGAUGUUCACUCCAACGGAUGCUAGUGAUAUAAGGCAAAUUGCUGUAGGCGAGCCGGGAGUUGAUGAUUUUUUGGCGUGGAAUUACACGAAGAGUGGCGUGUUCUCAGUGAGGUCUGCAUAUCAUUUGAGGAUGGCAAUGAAACGAGCGAGGACCGGACAGCCGGGUCACUCAAACUCUGUUCAGGGCCACAAAGGGUAUAUGGGACUAUGGAGUACAAAUGCACCGGGCAAAGCGAAGAUUCUGGACAUGUCAGCAUUCAUCACAAUUCUGGCAGUUGAUGCAAGUGGAAAAGGGAGUUUCGGUGGCGAUCCCACCGAGUCCGAUGAACUCUCGAGUGCAUUAGCAAGCUGGUUGUUGGGAUGGUUCGCGGGGGCAGCCGACGAGGAGAAGGAGGCGAUGAUACAGUCAGUUUAUGGCCUAUGGCUCGCGCGUAAUGAGGCUAGAGAUGGCAAGAAGAUUGCUUCUCCACAUGAGAUAAUGAUGUCCGUGUAUGAUCACAUGCAGGAAUGGAAGCAGAUUCAUGUAGCAAAGCCGCGACAGCCGGCUCCCAGGAUUGUUGAGAAGUGGAACCCUCCUGACGAUGGUUGGCUCAAGAUCAACGCUGAUGGAGCAACUUCGACACAUGGUGACAAAGGAGGUGGUGGUGCGGUUAUUCGGGAUCAACAUGGGGCGUUCCGGGCGGGCUUCUGUCAUUUCUUUCCAAACACAACUGACCCGAAGGCGGUGGAGACCCUUGCGUGUAGGCGUGCUUUACAGUUGGCAUCAGAUAUGAAUGCGGUAAGGGUUCAUGUGGAGUUGGAUAGCCAAACGCUGGUGAAGAUGAUUCGCCAAGAGGAGAAGGUGUUGUCCGCUGUUGGUCCCUGGAUUCAGGAAAUUAAGGACAUGCUCAACUCGUUUACAGAGUUCAAGGUUGCUUGGGUUAGGAGAUCAGCCAAUGUCGCAGCACACAAGCUUGCUAGAGUAGGGCGAAAUCCCUUGGGAGAUUUUCUAUACAAGAAGCAGUUAAGCUUGGCCUGCUCUGCCCUGCCCUGCCCUCUUCUUCCUCCUCUUCCCUUCUCCAUCCAGGAGAGGACUGCUUCAGGUUGGGCACCCCCCUCUCUCUCCCCCUCCUUUUUUUUCCCUGCGUGUUUCCGCUACGCUAAUCCAUUUCUAGUUCUUGGCCGGGCAUGCGCUCCCGAUCUUCCCUGCUCUAAUUUUCUGCGCUUUAUCUCCAGGUUCUCCUUCUUCCAGGCGCUUUCCUCACCCCCAAUCGCGGCCAAAAUUCCGGACCUUUUCCAGCGGCAGAACCGUUGA
This 1368-nucleotide ribosomal RNA is filed under the name Triticum aestivum (bread wheat). RNAcentral's name for it is "partial small subunit ribosomal RNA". The record is from RNAcentral. Lineage: Eukaryota; Viridiplantae; Streptophyta; Magnoliopsida; Poales; Poaceae.